AUGCUAGGUAUGAAUAUAGAGAAGUCAACAAUCAACUAUGUAAUUGCUACACCAAACUUAAAAUUGGAAAGAUUUUCAAAAUAAAGGAAAGCACCCCUAUAAUCUCUCAUUUGCUUCCUCAAAACACUAUAACCUGUCAAAAAAAAUUCAAAUAAAAAUCAAGUAAUAUUACAAAUUAAUUACAUUUGCCAAAAUUACUCGAUUACUUUUCCAUUCUAAACCUAAUAUUAUACGAGUCUGUACAAUUUAUACAAGUCUAUACAAUUUUAAGAAAAGCUCCACCACCGUUUUUCUGGAAAUCGAGCAGAUACAUCUUAUAUAACUGGUCAUUGCAAUCAUUCGAUAACUACCAUCUACUUUCAAAACAUUAGGCUUAAGUUCAUCACAGCAUACAAUAACCACCAACAUAAGAUAAAAUCAAGCAAAAAUGCAGAUGUAAUCUGAACAGAACCAGAAACUCAAUUGUCAAAGCGAAGAAACGUUGGUGUUUACAUGUAAUGAUCAACAGUUUCAGCAUCAAGUGCUUCUCAGCAAGAGCCAAACCAACAACAUUGGCCAUUCCUGACCAAGUGGCCCUACAUUAUUGGGAAUGCAAUGAAAUAAAAUUCCUGAGCUUUAACUACUUCAUCACUGUGAUCAUGGAAGAAAAUUUUCUAUUUGGGGAUAAAUAAGGGUGUUUCUGGAGAUUAUCACGUCUGACCCAAUUAGGUGGUGUGUUUUGCCAUUGUCUUUUGACGAUCUCAAUGCGACCACUGCUUGAAACAUCAAAUCAUGCAAUAAAUAAUAAGACAUGUGAUAGCCAAUUCCAUGUAAGAUAACAUUAACUAUAUUAAUUGUGAUUAGUCGUAAUGACACAGCUUUAGGAUUUUGUAUAAGCACGCACGCAUCGCGUGCAUAUAAGACUAGUAUUAAGUAGUGAAUCAUGGCAAGAUUCUAAUAUUAU
Molecule: long non-coding RNA, 943 nt
Organism: Spinacia oleracea (spinach)
Lineage: Eukaryota; Viridiplantae; Streptophyta; Magnoliopsida; Caryophyllales; Amaranthaceae
Exons: 4
Source: RefSeq, a predicted model, not a curated record